Molecule: ribosomal RNA, 398 nt
Filed under: uncultured organism
Description: bacterial SSU rRNA
Rfam family: Bacterial small subunit ribosomal RNA
Source: RNAcentral
UGCCUAACACAUGCAAGUCGAACGGAGUCAUUUUGAAGUAGCAAUACGGAUGGAUGACUUAGUGGCGCACGGGUGAGUAACACGUAGGUAACUUGCCCUUAAGAGGGGAACAACCCCGCGAAAGCGGGGCUAAUACCCCAUAAGACCACGAACUGAAAUGUUUGUGGUAAAAGUAGCAAUACGCUUAAGGAUGGGCCUGCGGCCUAUCAGGUAGUUGGCGGGGUAACGGCCCACCAAGCCUAAGACGGGUAGCCGGACUGAGAGGUCGAACGGCCACACUGGAACUGAGACACGGUCCAGACUCCUACGGGAGGCAGCAGUGGGGAAUUUUGCACAAUGGGCGAAAGCCUGAUGCAGCGACGCCGCGUGGUGGUUAAGGCCUUCGGGUUGUAAACUCC